CAUUUUUUUCCAAGAGAUUCACUCUCUCCUCGUGGCGCCGAGAGUCUGUGAGCAAACCAAUACUACGUGCUGUGGUUCUUGUGUCUAUAUGUUG
Alosa sapidissima (American shad) is the source of this 94-nucleotide long non-coding RNA. RefSeq lists it as uncharacterized. Lineage: Eukaryota; Metazoa; Chordata; Actinopteri; Clupeiformes; Clupeidae. The transcript has 4 exons. The record is from RefSeq and is a predicted model, not a curated record.